UGUUUAACUUAUUCCCCCCAGCUUUCAUCCGUUCUCUUAAACUGAUCCCAUCAUGAUAGACAUUGGGAUUAAUAAAUGCAUCCAUGCUUGCAACAGUGGAAGAAGCAUUAGUACACUGUGAAUGAAUCUGACCUCGAGACUCACUAGCAGAUACUCGGGGUAACUGUGUUUUGCAAAUGAUUCCUUUGCCUUUCAAUGUGCUUUUCACAAAAUACUCAGAAAACCCCGACUUGGAGAUAAUCUUAGUACGGAUACCCUCAGAAGAGGGUAAUACAUUG
This 278-nucleotide long non-coding RNA is filed under the name Solanum tuberosum (potato). Its description in RNAcentral is "long non-coding RNA (STUB_LNC008615)". Lineage: Eukaryota; Viridiplantae; Streptophyta; Magnoliopsida; Solanales; Solanaceae. The record is from RNAcentral.